GCCGUGUCGUUCAGCGCAAAGAAAAUGGCUGCCGAUGUCAAAGAAACAGCUGUGUGUGUGUGGUCGCCCGUAAUACGUCGCAAUUACUGCAAGGUGGGGAUGGUUACUGUCGGCUAAGAAGAGUAUUAGACUCUGCGAUCUUUCCGGAAGCCGCGCAAUCUGCUGAACCGAGGUGAGUAGAAACGUGUCGUGCCGUGGUGUGUGUUCUCGGCUGCAUGCAUCCGUCUGACGAGUUUCUUUUUUUUUAUCUGUAGCGACGCAACGGAGAAGAAAUCCGAAUGACUGUGAAGCGCUACAUAGUCAACAAGAUGCGAUUGAGAACUCACGAAGCAGCGAGUACCGUUUGUUGGGGCAUCGCCACCGCAAAGCGUCACUUCAUGAACGCGGUGCGCUGCAUCGUGCAUCGACAGUACUCCGUUGCUCAAGCUACCAUGCCGAUCCGCGAAAGCUGCUGCUGCUGCUUCGAUUUCGAAGCGCCACGGGUGGCGGCAGGGUUGGCGGCGUUGACGGCCGCGUCUUGGACAUCCUUGAGAGGACCGGCGCAGUCGUCACCACCCCGCCAGAGUAUUACCCCGUUCCCGACGUGGAGACUGAGGUCGAGGUGGGAACCUCCCGUGCAGUUCAACGGGGGCCGAGCGACGUUGACC
Rhipicephalus sanguineus (brown dog tick) is the source of this 647-nucleotide long non-coding RNA. RefSeq lists it as uncharacterized. Lineage: Eukaryota; Metazoa; Arthropoda; Arachnida; Ixodida; Ixodidae. The transcript is spliced from 3 exons. The record is from RefSeq and is a predicted model, not a curated record.